This 162-nucleotide small RNA is filed under the name Streptomyces sp. RNAcentral's name for it is "c-di-AMP sequence". It matches the Rfam family "c-di-AMP riboswitch aptamer (ydaO/yuaA leader)". From Rfam's summary of the family: This family represents a conserved RNA structure found upstream of the ydaO and yuaA genes in Bacillus subtilis and related genes in other bacteria. The ydaO/yuaA element is thought to act as a genetic "off" switch for the ydaO and yuaA genes in its native state. The record is from RNAcentral. Lineage: Bacteria; Bacillati; Actinomycetota; Actinomycetes; Kitasatosporales; Streptomycetaceae. RNAcentral also lists the same sequence under 1 other name.
CGGACGCCCCCGCCGAAUCCGUACCGCCCUCACGGGUGUCCGGAACCGGGGACCCACCAGCAGCACCGGGGUGAAUCGGUCCUUCCCCACGGGACCGUAGGGCAGCCUUCCGUUCCGCCCGAACCCGACAGCUAACCCGGUAGGCGGUCCACGGAAGGAGAU